UUUUUAAUUUUAUUUCCUUCCCUUCUGACUAUGGAAACCUGCUUAUUAUUCUUAUCUACAUUUUGCAGAUGAAGACAUUGAGGCUCAAAGAGUUUGAGUGACUUCCCUGAGGUCCUACAGCCAGGACCUGGUGGAGCUGGGAUAGAACCCAAGCUUCCAGCUGAUGGUCCUCUGCACUUUCUCCCACACCUGUUGGCUUCCUGUACUCCUAAAGAAUCCAAGGUGUCCCUUGGGCACCUACCCUUUAUCAGCACAUCUGCUCAACUCAUUGUGGGUGUCGUCUAGUUCUGCCACUAAACUGAUUUCUAAACCUGCCAAUGGCACAACUGGGAGUGGUGGCUGAUGCCUACAACCACAACACUUUGGGAGACCAAGGUGGGAGGAUUGCUUGUGACCAGGAGUUUGAGACCAGCCUGGACAACAUGGUGAG
RNAcentral lists this long non-coding RNA (430 nucleotides) under Aotus nancymaae (Ma's night monkey). RNAcentral's name for it is "lncRNA (ENSANAG00000038898.1)". The record is from RNAcentral. Lineage: Eukaryota; Metazoa; Chordata; Mammalia; Primates; Aotidae.